This 73-nucleotide transfer RNA is filed under the name Microbotryum lychnidis-dioicae p1A1 Lamole. Its description in RNAcentral is "tRNA-Sup (TTA) (tRNA-Sup-TTA-13-1)". It matches the Rfam family "tRNA". Rfam says of the family: Transfer RNA (tRNA) molecules are approximately 80 nucleotides in length. Their secondary structure includes four short double-helical elements and three loops (D, anti-codon, and T loops). The record is from RNAcentral. Lineage: Eukaryota; Fungi; Basidiomycota; Microbotryomycetes; Microbotryales; Microbotryaceae.
GGCCGGAUAGCUUAGAGGUCAAAGCUUUUCCGAUUAAUGGAAGCGACCCAGGUUCGACCUCCUGGUCCAGCCG